UUUCACAGAAAUACUAUGAUC
Molecule: non-coding RNA, 21 nt
Filed under: Caenorhabditis elegans
Lineage: Eukaryota; Metazoa; Nematoda; Chromadorea; Rhabditida; Rhabditidae
Source: RNAcentral